UACGUAGGGUGCGAGCGUUGUCCGGAAUUAUUGGGCGUAAAGGGCUCGUAGGCGGUUUGUCGCGUCGGGAGUGAAAACACCGGGCUUAACUCGGUGCUUGCUUUCGAUACGGGCAGACUAGAGGCAUGCAGGGGAGAACGGAAUUCCUGGUGUAGCGGUGAAAUGCGCAGAUAUCAGGAGGAACACCGGUGGCGAAGGCGGGUCUCUGGGCAGUAACUGACGCUGAGGAACGAAAGCGUGGGUAGCGAACAGG
RNAcentral lists this ribosomal RNA (253 nucleotides) under uncultured bacterium. Its description in RNAcentral is "partial 16S ribosomal RNA". It matches the Rfam family "Bacterial small subunit ribosomal RNA", at positions 524 to 776 of the family's 1533-position model. The record is from RNAcentral.